GAUGAACGCUGGCGGCGUGCCUAAUACAUGCAAGUCGAGCGAACAGACGAGGAGCUUGCUCCUCUGACGUUAGCGGCGGAAGGGUGAGUAACACGUGGAUAACCUACCUAUAAGACUGGGAUAACUUCGGGAAACCGGAGCUAAUACCGGAUAAUAUAUUGAACCGCAUGGUUCAAUAGUGAAAGACGGUUUUGCGGUCACUUAUAGAUGGAUCCGCGCCGCAUUAGCUAGUUGGUAAGGUAACGGCUUACCAAGGCAACGAUGCGUAGCCGACCUGAGAGGGUGAUCGGCCACACUGGAACUGAGACACGGUCCAGACUCCUACGGGAGGCAGCAGUAGGGAAUCUUCCGCAAUGGGCGAAAGCCUGACGGAGCAACGCCGCGUGAGUGAUGAAGGUCUUCGGAUCGUAAAACUCUGUUAUUAGGGAAGAACAAAUGUGUAAGUAACUAUGCACGUCUUGACGGUACCUAAUCAGAAAGCCACGGCUAACUACGUG
Molecule: ribosomal RNA, 497 nt
Filed under: uncultured bacterium
Lineage: Bacteria
Description: partial 16S ribosomal RNA
Rfam family: Bacterial small subunit ribosomal RNA
Source: RNAcentral